UAUUGCCAAAUACCCCUUAGGCCCGGGUAUAAGGGGAUUUAAGUUGUGAGUGGACUACACACUUGAGGAAAACAACAUAAGUACAAGGAGAACGUGGAUACUGAACUACAGAGUUCCCAGGAUGCCCAGUGGUAACCAGCCUACCAUGUGGCUCAACAGAUGCCAGUGUACCUGAAUUCUGAGACACAAUUGGAUGUUCUUUUCUUCUGCUUUUAAGAUUCCCAGUUUGGGAUGAUGUGUAGUUCAUGUUAGAUUUUCUGUUUCUAGAGUGAAGUAGAAGAGUCCAUUAUUGUUAUGGGGCAGCAGUUAAAGAAGAAGGACGGAGAGAUGUGUGCCAUGUUGAAGUAGUGGCUGCCCCUCCUGACCGACACUUCUAGAAUCCUCCAUCUCAAUCCCUGCUCUGAUCUG
Molecule: long non-coding RNA, 408 nt
Organism: Polypterus senegalus (gray bichir)
Lineage: Eukaryota; Metazoa; Chordata; Cladistia; Polypteriformes; Polypteridae
Exons: 3
Source: RefSeq, a predicted model, not a curated record